GUUACAAUAGGAGUACUUUUGAGCAAAGUCCUUUGAACCCAUUAAAUUCUCUCUUCCUCCUUUAGGAUUAUUGAUUGCAGUUGGCAGGGGCAGCCGGUCUGUGUGUGACGUUACAGCCCUGCAGCGCUACCAGCCCCACUGAGUGCUGUCGUGGUGUUUCUGCUGGGAGAGCUAGGCUAAGUCUGAGUGCUUUGCCUUGUCUUUUUGGCUCUAAUCUUCGGCUUCUUGAAAGCUGCUUUGGAUGUGCUGUGUGAAAAGAUGUCAGGGACAAGGGUGCCAGACCGAAGGAAUGCACACCAGUGCCUCUGCAGUAGUGAAGGAUGGGGUGCAGAGCCUCCAGUACAGAAUGGAAAGAGUGAGAAUGGAGACUGGGAGCUAGGAAACGAGUGAGAAAGAC
RNAcentral lists this long non-coding RNA (397 nucleotides) under Coturnix japonica (Japanese quail). RNAcentral's name for it is "lncRNA (ENSCJPG00005012437.1)". Lineage: Eukaryota; Metazoa; Chordata; Aves; Galliformes; Phasianidae. The record is from RNAcentral.